UACGUAGGGUGCGAGCGUUGUCCGGAAUUACUGGGCGUAAAGAGCUCGUAGGUGGUUUGUCGCGUCGUCUGUGAAAUUCCGGGGCUUAACUCCGGGCGUGCAGGCGAUACGGGCAUAACUUGAGUACUGUAGGGGAGACUGGAAUUCCUGGUGUAGCGGUGAAAUGCCCAGAUAUCAGGAGGAACACCGGUGGCGAAGGCGAGUCUCUGGGCAGUAACUGACGCUGAGGAGCGAAAGCAUGGGUAGUGAACAGG
RNAcentral lists this ribosomal RNA (254 nucleotides) under uncultured bacterium. Its description in RNAcentral is "partial 16S ribosomal RNA". It matches the Rfam family "Bacterial small subunit ribosomal RNA", at positions 524 to 776 of the family's 1533-position model. The record is from RNAcentral.